Molecule: long non-coding RNA, 1166 nt
Organism: Dipodomys spectabilis (banner-tailed kangaroo rat)
Lineage: Eukaryota; Metazoa; Chordata; Mammalia; Rodentia; Heteromyidae
Exons: 5
Source: RefSeq, a predicted model, not a curated record
GCUGAGAAAGAGGAAGGGAGACUUUGGCUACUCCCAGUGCACAACUGAAAGCCUGUUCUAUGUCAGAGCAACAAGGCCUUCCUUCCACUGACCUGUCUUGUCUCUCCUUUUCUGGCUAAUCUCUGGACACUUACCCUACACAUCUGGGUUUUCCAUCUGCCACAAAGUGUCCAUUAGUGCUAGAUCCUCAAAAAGGCUCUAUCUACCCAAAGUCUUCCUUCUCUCAACUCUUUUUCAGGGCUCUGUAUUGAAAAUACGGUGAACUUGUGACAAGCCUCUGAACAAGUCCAGACUUCAAGUGACCACUGGGAUUGAAGAAGAGCCUCUAGUAAGGUGUUAACCAUUAGCAGAAAGACUCAAUGGUAGCAGCUAAAACCUUCAUGUGCUGGGCUGUCUGGUGCUGAGAAACCUUGAAGUUUUCCACGUUCUCCUUUUCCUGGAUGACAGAAACUAAUUGUUAAAGUAGAGGGUAUCCUGGACUACAUAAAAUUCAGCACAAAAUGGUGAGGUCUGGUAUAUAUACCACGUGCACAGUUCUUUCUCCUUAAAGAAACGAAAACAAGUUCCUUGGAGAAAGUGUGGCCCGCCAGAGGUCAGAAGACAACACAACCAUGAAGGCACUUGAGGAGUUUCCUCCAGAGGUGCCUCAAGCCCGAGAACCAAGAGGCAGAAAGGACCCCAAGUCAUCAGAGUUCAACGGGUAUGGAGGAGACUUUUUCCUCUGACAACCUGGAGUCACCAACAGCUCACAGUACUCCGGGACCCGUGGGGGCGCUCGCUGUGUGACCCUGGGCAAGUGUGCACACCUCUCUGAGCCUCCGUGGCCUCCUAGCAAAACGCAGGAGCUGGUGCUUUGGCCGGAAAGCAAACUGGAAGCCGCGUAGGGUAGCGCUUGAAGACUCUAGAUUCCUCACGGUGCCACGGAGUAACGUCUGUUAAACUGGAGAUCGUCGUAGUACGACCUUCUAGGGUUGUUAGGGAGAUUAAGUGAGUCAACAUUUACCAAGUAUUUACAGCUGUCUCUUACGUGGGAAGCGGCAUUAAGUAGUAUUUUAGAGCGACUGCGGGAGGUCCCGCUCUGUGAUGGAGUUCUCCCUUCCCUCUUCCUACCCUCCACAUUCCUGUUCCCCGGUGAAGCGCCUCCCUGCUUUUGCCCUAGCUGGGCC